GUGUCUAGAUCAUGCCACUGCCGGCUCACUGGGCAAUUUCCUGUCAUUUAGAAGUUAAAUGACAUUUGCUUCUGCCCAUUAAGUACUAGCGACACCUACCCUGGCUAUGACUCACACAAGCUCCAUGAAAAAAAAAGUUUUAUUUUUCAAUCAGAUCUUGCAGCACAGUGUGUUUAGGAGACAAGAAAAUGUAAAAACUGUCAGGAAGGGUGUAGGAAGGCUGUG
Non-coding RNA from Pelobates cultripes (western spadefoot toad), 225 nucleotides. The record is from the annotation of a GenBank genome assembly. Lineage: Eukaryota; Metazoa; Chordata; Amphibia; Anura; Pelobatidae.